GCAGCGGGCGCACGGCGAUUGGCUCCCUCGGUGGCGGCGCCACAGGACCCGCGAACUGCGUGAGCGGAGUGGGCCCUUAAGGAUCCCGUGGCUCCACAGGCUCCCUGCUGACUUCUGUUCCAGUGUUGGUGGCUGCAGCAGCAGCAACAGCAGCAGCAGCGACAGCAGCAGCAGGAGCAGCGGAGGCAGCUGGAGCAGCAGCGGAGGCAGCUGGAGCAGCAGCAGCAGCAGAGGCAGUGGUGGUGACUACUGAGCACUGAGCACGUUUGGUUAGUUGCCCAAGAUGCCAAAUAUCAAAAUCUUCAGUGGGAGCUCCCACCAGGACUUAUCCCAGAAAAUAGCUGACCGCCUAGGCCUGGAGCUGGGCAAGGUGGU
RNAcentral lists this long non-coding RNA (375 nucleotides) under Rattus norvegicus (Norway rat). RNAcentral describes it as "long non-coding RNA NONRATT024294". Lineage: Eukaryota; Metazoa; Chordata; Mammalia; Rodentia; Muridae. The record is from RNAcentral.